GCCCCUGAGCAAGGCCCUUAACCCUCAGUUGCUCAGUUGUAAGUCACUCUGGAUAAGGGUGUCUGCUAAAUGCCAUAAAUGUAAAAGUCAGAUAUCUGGCGCCCUCUAGUGGUUAGAUUCAGUACAUAGUCUGUAAACCACCCACCAUGAAAAAGGGUAUUGUGGCCUUUAGUAAGUAGGUUUCUAUCCAUCCAUCCAUCUAUUUAUUUCAGUGCGAGAGAUACAAAGGCUGACAAACAUUCUAUAUAUUAUAAGCACAGCCUCUAAUGUGUCCAGAUGAAGACCAGAAGACAACUUGGACUCAGGACCCUACACCAACCAGGAGGAUCUGUGAGGUUACAGCCUUGUGUUUCUUGAUGUGGAGGUGGUCGAGGAAGCCGCAGCAGGAAGUGGACUCACAGGCCCUGUUUAGCGAGUGAGGCGGUCACCUGGUCUGCGAGUGUAGAGAGCUGCGGAGAUUCGCUCAUGUUGAUGCUGCCGGAGGAGGAGACUUUGCUGAGAGGGCGGGGUGAACCCUCUCCUGACAUGCAGGGGGAUUUAACCACGAUGUCCGCACCGUGGUCAGUGCGAGCUUUCGCCUGCUCGCGGAACAUCAGCUUGUGAGACUCAAUCUGGUGGAGAAGACGACGAGACAGAAUUACAGGAAAAACAAUCACAGAAACUCUGUACUGGACAAAAUGAGGACAUAUAAAUCUGUAGCUGUGUUUAUUAAAGUAUGUACUGUUAAUGCACCAUGACAGGAUAGAAGACAAUCUGAAACAUCUGCACCGAUAACAUUCUACUUCUGUUCUGCUCUAAUGACUAAAACACUCAGUUAAACUCACACACAACUGCUGCUGCACUGAUCCUAUUUAAUCUCAGCUUGUUUUUGCAACAACAAAUUCCCUCCAGAAAGUGGGACGAAAACCGAUUUAUGGGUAAAUGUUGUAUGUGUGGAUACCGUGUUGAUGCGUGUCUCGUUUUUUUUCCCUCCAUCGUGAAGUUUGUCAUUUUAUCGAGACGUUCCUGAGUGACGGCUGCAGCUCUGACUGUUAAAUAUAACUUCACCAAAUCACAAAAUCAUUUUAUUUCAGUCCCUGUACACGAGUUGUUACUAUAGCGAUGACGAUGUGCUAGAAGACGUGGAUUAUAAAUACAGACGUAAAUCUAAAGCUGUGAUUUGAAGCAGAUGUUGAGUUACAGACAAUUACACCACCACCUUCUUAUCAAUCCAAGUUCAGACCUCAUCACUGCUCCUGUUCUGUUCAUUCUUCUGUUUUAAAUGUCACUGUGUGUGUGUGUGUGUGUGUGUGUGUGUGUGUGUGUGUGUGUGUGUGUGUGUGUGUGUGUGUGUGAGAGAGAGAGAGAGUUGCCUCUGUAAAAAAUCAGCAUCAUCUGUCUUCUGUUUAUAUUAAAGCCUGAAAUGUU
Long non-coding RNA from Tachysurus fulvidraco (yellow catfish), 1407 nucleotides. RefSeq lists it as uncharacterized. The record is from RefSeq and is a predicted model, not a curated record. The transcript is spliced from 2 exons. NCBI's taxonomy places the organism in Eukaryota, Metazoa, Chordata, Actinopteri, Siluriformes, Bagridae.